CGGAGGGAUCAUUACUGAGUUUACGCUCUAUAACCCUUUGUGAACAUACCUAUAACUGUUGCUUCGGCGGGUAGGGUCUCCGUGACCCUCCCGGCCUCCCGCCCCCGGGCGGGUCGGCGCCCGCCGGAGGAUAACCAAACUCUGAUUUAACGACGUUUCUUCUGAGUGGUACAAGCAAAUAAUCAAAACUUUUAACAACGGAUCUCUUGGUUCUGGCAUCGAUGAAGAACGCAGCGAAAUGCGAUAAGUAAUGUGAAUUGCAGAAUUCAGUGAAUCAUCGAAUCUUUGAACGCACAUUGCGCCCGCCAGCAUUCUGGCGGGCAUGCCUGUUCGAGCGUCAUUUCAACCCUCAAGCUCUGCUUGGUGUUGGGGCCCUACAGCUGAUGUAGGCCCUCAAAGGUAGUGGCGGACCCUCCCGGAGCCUCCUUUGCGUAGUAACUUUACGUCUCGCACUGGGAUCCGGAGGGACUCUUGCCGUAAAACCCCCAAUUUUCCAAAGGUUGACCUCGGAUCAGGUAGGAAUACCCGCUGAACUUAAGCAUAUCAAUAAGCGGAGGAAAAGAAACCAACAGGGAUUGCCUCAGUAACGGCGAGUGAAGCGGCAACAGCUCAAAUUUGAAAUCUGGCCCUAGGCCCGAGUUGUAAUUUGCAGAGGAUGCUUUUGG
Molecule: ribosomal RNA, 665 nt
Filed under: fungal endophyte
Lineage: Eukaryota; Fungi
Description: eukaryotic LSU rRNA
Rfam family: 5.8S ribosomal RNA (bases 187-340)
Source: RNAcentral